Molecule: ribosomal RNA, 392 nt
Filed under: uncultured bacterium
Lineage: Bacteria
Description: partial 16S ribosomal RNA
Rfam family: Bacterial small subunit ribosomal RNA
Source: RNAcentral
AUACGGAGGAUCCGAGCGUUAUCCGGAUUUAUUGGGUUUAAAGGGUGCGCAGGCGGCCAUUUAAGUCAGCGGUUAAAUCGUGGGGCUCAACCCCAUUCUGCCGUUGAUACUGGGUGGCUUGAUUGCGGUCGAGGUUGGCGGAAUUCGUUGUGUAGCGGUGAAAUGCAUAGAUAUGACGAAGAACACCGAUUGCGUAGGCAGCUGACCAGACCGCAAAUGACGCUCAUGCACGAAAGUGCGGGGAUCGAACAGGAUUAGAUACCCUGGUAGUCCGCACAGUAAACGAUGAAUACUUGUUUCCGGCGAUAUAAUGUCGGAGGCAAAGCGAAAGCGAUAAGUAUUCCACCUGGGGAGUACGCCGGCAACGGUGAAACUCAAAGGAAUUGGCGGGG